GAUGAACGCUGGCGGCGUGCCUAAUACAUGCAAGUCGAGCGAACAGACGAGGAGCUUGCUCCUCUGACGUUAGCGGCGGACGGGUGAGUAACACGUGGAUAACCUACCUAUAAGACUGGGAUAACUUCGGGAAACCGGAGCUAAUACCGGAUAAUAUAUUGAACCGCAUGGUUCAAUAGUGAAAGACGGUUUUGCUGUCACUUAUAGAUGGAUCCGCGCCGCAUUAGCUAGUUGGUAAGGUAACGGCUUACCAAGGCGACGAUGCGUAGCCGACCUGAGAGGGUGGACGGGCACACUGGAACUGGAGAACGGUCCAAGAUCCUGAGGGGAGGCAGAAGUAGGGAACCUCCCGCAAGGGGCGAAAGCUGGCCGGAGAAACGCCGCGUGAGUGAGGAAGGCCUCCGGACGGUAAACCUUUGUUAUUAGGGAGAACAAAUGUGUAAGUAACUAUGCACGUCUUGACGGUACCUAAUCAGAAAGCCACGGCUAACUACGUG
RNAcentral lists this ribosomal RNA (497 nucleotides) under uncultured bacterium. RNAcentral's name for it is "partial 16S ribosomal RNA". It matches the Rfam family "Bacterial small subunit ribosomal RNA", at positions 28 to 507 of the family's 1533-position model. The record is from RNAcentral.